This 2058-nucleotide ribosomal RNA is filed under the name Triticum aestivum (bread wheat). Its description in RNAcentral is "partial small subunit ribosomal RNA". Lineage: Eukaryota; Viridiplantae; Streptophyta; Magnoliopsida; Poales; Poaceae. The record is from RNAcentral.
AUGGAGAGCAUGCUAAAACUAUUUAGUGAGUGGGAGAUUCAGCUGCUUGUGCUUUCCAGCUUCAUGCUACAAACAUUCCUCUUCUUUACGGGGAGCCUUCGGCUACGUAGCACCAACGGUUUUCUUAGAGGCACCAUUUGGGUAGCCUAUUUAGCGGCAGACUUGGUUGCAGUUUUUGCCCUUGGCUUUCUGUCAAGGCAAAGGGAAUCCACCACGGAAAGGGGCACAAUAAGGGAAACCCACCCGCUGGCCUUCUUGUGGGCGCCUUUCCUCCUCAUUCAUCUCGGCGGACAAGACACCAUCACUGCAUUCGCCAUAGAGGACAACAGUUUGUGGCUAAGGCAAAUGUAUAAUUUGACAGCCCAAGUGGUCCUGGCCUUGUAUGUUUUCUGGAAGUCGACUGGUUUGCGCAACAUGCAACUUCUUCUCCCAGGCAUCUUUGUAUUUGUUGCUGGAGUCAUCAAGUAUGUGGAGAGGACACUGGCUCUCAUGUACGGUAAUAACAAGGAUUCCGAUAGGAAAGAAAACAAGUAUACAGACAUGGCACUAGAUCAUGAGGAUGCUAUCUACCCUAGGAUUGUUUGUUACGCUUUGGAUUGCGCACCCGUCAUCCGACAUCUAUUUGCUGGGCGCACACUAUACCAGAUAGAAAAAGACAUUGCUCGAGAAGACAAAUUUGAUGAAGGCCAGUUGGUCAAGUUGAUCAACGUUGAACUUGGAAUCAUGUAUUAUGAUCUGUACACUAAGGCGGCAGUGCUUCGGACAAGAAGUGGCAUUAUACUUCGGUGCAUAUCCCAAGUAUCGGCCAUAGUUGCCAUGGUGCUCUUCGCAAUUAGCAACAAGCGGCAAUACAACAUAGCCGACGUUGUAAUCACAUACGCGUUGUUUAUCGGAGGUUUUUCCCUGGAAGUUUUUGCAAUGUUUAUGAUGGUCAUGGUAUCACCUUGGACAUGGGCAUGGUUGAAGGCCAACAAGUGUCGUUGGCUCGCCCGCAUGUCUUGGAUUCUUCUCUCCAGCAAUAUCAUCGGGUGGCCGGAGGAGAAGACACUGUGGUCCAACAGCAUGGGGCAGUACAGUUUUCUGAGCUACAUUGGCUGUGAAACGCCAAGUAGCAUGUCAGGACACGCGAUGUGCAUGAUUAGGAAAAUAGCGAAGGUAGUUGGCGCUGGAGGGGCCGGAAAGUUGUUUUGGCUGAGCAAACUGCUAGACACCAAGUCCGAGGUGGUGGACAAGCAGAUCGCAGAGAGUUUCAUAAAGGUGAUUGACGCGUACGCCUUCUCUUUCCCCCAGCCACAGUGGCGACACCUCGGUCCGUUCCUGAAGCAGCAACUAUCAGGCGGCGCCGCGGAUUUCAACGAUCUGGUGCUCCAGUUGCGCUUGCUGACGGAGAUGCAGCUCAGCCUUGUUUCAAUGUCUACGAGAAUCAGCAUGGAUGAUGCCGAAACAGGCGUUUUGGUCAGCCACUGCCGGAAACUAUCCAAUUACAUGAUGUACAUUGUUGCAAUACAUGCAGCUUCCAUGUUGCAGGUCAUUGGUUCUAGUCCCGGGGAGCUGCUCGAAAGCGCACAUAAGCGUGUGAGACCCAUAGGCGGCGACAAGGCAGCCAUCCUGCGGGAGCUGAGAGAUGUUCGAGUGUGUGAGAACCUGCAGCCUGAUUUGUAUAAAGAAACACUGGUGGAAAUCAGGGACAUGUGGGUGAGGAUCAUCAUGUACGCCGCCGGCAAGUCCCGACCGGAGAAGCACGCGGCGCAGCUCGCCAGGGGAGGGGAGCUGCUCACCUUCGUCUGGCUGCUCAUGGUCCACAAGGGGGUUGGGGAUACAACGCUAAGUAGGGUCGAGCUUACCAGCAAUCCUACUGCUUUCGAUCUUGAGGUGUUAUACGCCUUGGAUUUUCGCCAACAUAGAUCAGCAUCAGCGUCAGCGUCAGCUGGCGACGCCUCUCCCUCGGCAUCCUCCACCUCCACCCCACCGCCAUCCUCCUCUCCGCCCAACACCAACACCGGGGCCUCGCCGCCGACCUCUACUUCUCCCCCUAGAUCCCAGGGUGAGGGAGCAUAA